This is a non-coding RNA of Lactuca sativa (garden lettuce), 815 nucleotides long. The record is from RefSeq and is a predicted model, not a curated record. NCBI's taxonomy places the organism in Eukaryota, Viridiplantae, Streptophyta, Magnoliopsida, Asterales, Asteraceae.
UUUGGUACCCUCUUAAUAAAAACCUCUGAAUCUAAAAAAUGCCUCUUAAAAAAUAAGAGAUCAACCCGCAUCUGAAAACAAAAAAUGACCGCGCUGCCCUCCCUCUCCUAGGUCUCGCUCUUUCUUUCAUGCCUCCACUUUUUUUCUUUCUCAUCUCCGCACACCAGAACCUCCCUCCCGAUCCGCUGAGAAAUUGUGUUCCCUCCCCGUCAUUGCAAUCGUCGGCUUCCUCUCCGCCUCCCGUCGUCGGCGUCCUCUCCGACAGCUGCACAUUCGACGACUUCUGCAGUGAAGUUUAAGGCAGCAACAGUUAACGACAAUGAGGUAUGUGUAUAGAUUCAACCAUUGGAGUUUUUCCUUUUCUCAAAAACUUUUUACCCUCUAUGUGACUCAUGCUUUACAGAGAUUUUAAUAAUUGAAUCGAAUUUUUAUUUGCUUAAUCAAGAUUACGUAUAAUUUAUGUAUGUUCUCCAAACUUUUAAUUCAACGAUUCCAAUAGACGUGUGUUAUGAACUUUGAUUAUUGACUUGUGUAUCUUUUGCUAAUGGGUGAUUUCUUGCUGAAAUUGAUGAUUUCUAUUGAUUUGUGCUGAAAAGUUUUGGUUAAUUUUUUGUUGAUAAAAGAGUGAUAAAUUGUAUGGUUGUUUCUUAAGCGUGCAAAAAAUAGGUCUUUGGUUCACUAGUUGCACCAUGGAUUGAAAGAAGUAUUUUUUUAUUUGGCUAUUGUAUGUAUCUUUUGAAAGAACUUAUGUUUAAUUUGGUUAUUGUAUGAUCACUUGUAAUUUUUAUCAAUUAUGCAUUUAUCAUUUAGCACAA